Molecule: ribosomal RNA, 195 nt
Filed under: uncultured bacterium
Lineage: Bacteria
Description: partial 16S ribosomal RNA
Rfam family: Bacterial small subunit ribosomal RNA
Source: RNAcentral
ACGCUCGACACCACGGGAGCAGCAGUGGGGGAUAUUGCACAAUGGGGGAAACCCUGAUGCAGCAACGCCGCGUGUGGGAAGAAGGUUUUCGGAUUGUAAACCACUGUUCUCAGGGACGAUAAUGACGGUACCUGAGGAGAAAGCUCCGGCUAACUACGUGCAGCAGCCGCGGUAAUCUGAGCGGGCUGGCAAGGC